RNAcentral lists this long non-coding RNA (375 nucleotides) under Homo sapiens (human). RNAcentral describes it as "HSALNT0041754". The record is from RNAcentral. Lineage: Eukaryota; Metazoa; Chordata; Mammalia; Primates; Hominidae.
AUGCCAAGAACAUGGACACCUUCUACCAGUGACAUAUUUUGGUGAGCCAGCCAGGAGGAAGAGAACAGGAAGGGAUUGUUUAGCUGAAAUGGAAGAUUUGAUAUCUGAACAAGGAGUUCUAAAUAAUUCUCUGCACCUUAAUCUGCCAAUACUCACUCUAAAACUACACAAAGGAGAUUCAAAAUAAAAAGAGGAUGAUAAACGGCAAAACCAUCUGAGGUAUUGCAUAAUUGAAACCACAGAUUGCUGCAAAAUAGCUUGGUAGAUAUGAGUAGUUGCCCAAGUUGCAGAAGAGGAUGCUGUUGUACACAUCAUCCUUGAGAUAGGAUGUAGAAACCCAGACACAGACGGAUUGAUGAUACUCUAGAUACCGAG